UACGUAGGCAGCGAGCGUUGUUCGGAAUUACUGGGCGUAAAGAGUGUGUAGGCGGUGCUCUAAGUUCGGUGUGAAAUCUCCUGGCUUAACUGGGAGGGUGCGCCGGAAACUGGAGUGCUCGAGCGUGGGAGAGGAAAGCGGAAUUCCUGGUGUAGCGGUGAAAUGCGUAGAUAUCAGGAGGAACACCUGUGGUGUAGACGGCUUUCUGGACCAUUGCUGACGCUGAGACACGAAAGCGUGGGGAGCAAACAGG
This 253-nucleotide ribosomal RNA is filed under the name uncultured bacterium. Its description in RNAcentral is "partial 16S ribosomal RNA". It matches the Rfam family "Bacterial small subunit ribosomal RNA", at positions 524 to 776 of the family's 1533-position model. The record is from RNAcentral.